Molecule: long non-coding RNA, 4554 nt
Organism: Haplochromis burtoni (Burton's mouthbrooder)
Lineage: Eukaryota; Metazoa; Chordata; Actinopteri; Cichliformes; Cichlidae
Exons: 4
Source: RefSeq, a predicted model, not a curated record
AUAUCAUCUUUUCUAAUCUGGGAUUGACUAAUCCUCCUGUGUUCCUGAUCCAGGCAAGGGGAGAGACAAACACCUGGUAACUGGGAAAUGGUUUUCUCAGCUGUGCUUGAGGUUUACAGAAUGGGUGGAAUAUUUUGAGGCUGCUUUCUCUGUGAAUGCAGGGUGGCGGUGGUGGUGGACUCUUGGGACCAUGUGCACCACCAUCAUGUUUCUCUCUACUCUGGCUUUUGUACUGCGCCAGCAUUUCUUCAGCCGAAGUAAGACCUUUCCAAAAGCCUCGCGGGAGAAGGAGUCACCAUCGGUGGAGAGCAAAGACACUGACAAGUGACACUCACUUAAUGGACAUCCAACUCAGAGCUGGGUUUUAGAUGUGGAAGCUGUGCUCAGGUCCAUGGAAAGACAGCUGAAUUCUCUUUUGGAGAAAUGUCCUCAGUCGAAAUGUGGAAACAGCCCAGUGGGUCCUCUAUCUCCUUUAAGCCACAGCAGGUCUCGCUCCAGUCAACAAGCUGAUCCGUAAAGUCAACUUUAGAUGCUUUUCAACUUUUUGAGCAAAACAAAUCCCAUAUUUUUGCCCCAAACAGUCACUUGGAGUAGACAGACUUUGAGCACUUCUUGUUGCCGGUUUUCCUUUAUUCCAGCAACAAAGAGCCCACAGAAGUGUACGCUCUGUGCCACGAGCACCAAACCUGCUGUGAUUGGCAGCUUUGUUGGAGGGGUUCUUUUUUUGGCUUGCUAAAAUCCCUGUGCAAUAAUCUCACCUCUUAAGUAGUUGUUUGACAUUACAGGGAGGAAAGCAAUUUCACACCCGGUUGUAUCAUUACUCAACUGUUCCAUAAGCGAUGAAAACCUGACGGUCUCUGGAAUGACUGAAAAACUUUCCGUCAUUACCGAGCUGCCAGACCAGAAAUAAACAAGUGUUUUCUGUGAUGUACACAUACAGCCUGCUGCAUCUUUAUUUGAAGGGAAAUCCACACCCACACCCCCAGCAGCACAAAAAAAUUAAAGCUCCCUGGCUUAUUCGUUUCUAUAAUUGAGCCUUUUGCUCUGCACAUGGAUUCACAAGCAUGUCGAAUUACGACUAAAUCAUAUAGCGUGACAAUGGGCCCCCUAUGCACAGGAUCUUGGCAAUUAAUACUGUUUUUCAUCUUUUUAUGGGCUGCAUCAUUUCCCUUGCCGACAAAUGAGAUCUUGUUAUUUCCUGCCUGAUUACAUAAGUGAUUGGAUCCUUAUUGAUAUUAAGGUUGUGCGCUGCCCCAGAGAUACCAGUGUGCGUUUAAUGAUACGUUCCAGUGGGAGCGACAGACCGCUAAGUUAUUUUCGAAAAGGGACCAAAACCGCCUCUGUGGCGGGAAUAUGGCCGACUGUUAUGCAUCUACUCUAUUAAGAACUCCAUUAUUGUGAAUAUCCCUGUUUGUCACUCUGACAACUGUGUACAACAAAUCCCUCCGGCUGAAGUACUCCACUGGCAGAAGCCCGGGGAACUAAUGAGCCUAAUAUGUCCCCAGGAACGUCGCCUCUGCCAAGUGUGCACUCUAAAUCCUCCUGUGUAAUCAAGGCGGUGCAGGACAUGGAUAUCUGCAGAUAGUGGCAGUAGUACUUCCAUAUCUCACUGUUGUCUCCUGCCCUGAUGAGUCUGUCUGACUCAAAUUACUAGGUGAAAGCGGGGUUUUUGUGCUGCCGGUAACGUGGAGUAGCUUGGGUAAUGACUAUGGUCUUCCUGAACACUCUGGUAGACCAUGGGAGAUAAUCUAAUGAAGGGGAGAGAGCCAUGGUUCAUAAUUGCCUGAGAGAGAAGCUGGAAGAAAGGUACACAUGGAGACUCAAACCUGUUUUUCCUGCGCGCUCCAAACUCAAAUGCUGCUGCAAAAGCAGGAGAGGAAUCAAGAGAUGCUGAUGAUAGUCGGACACAGAGCAUUUAAACAAUCAGACCUGUUCAGAGUCGUUCUGCACUGAUACGGUUUUAAGUGUUAAUGUUUUAGCUGAUUUUGAAAUGGGAUGUUACAGCCUGCUGCUGCAGACUCUUGGUUUUACACAAAGACACAAAAUAACAAAAAAAAACCCAGAAUGUAACCCAAACCUGUAACAUAAACUGGGAAAACUUCUAAGAAACCAUGAAACCUGGACACACAAGGAGAGGUGCGCAGAUAACCUGAUGAUGAACACAGGGAAACUCACGCAAUAAAUGCACAUGAGGGUGACGAGGGAAGUGGAAACACACGAGGAACGCAGCUGGGAUGAAUAGGCCUAAUGACACAAGAGGAAGCAAAACUGAACACACUGAACACGAGAUAAGAGACCAUCAAAAUAAAACAGGAACCGCGCAGACUAAGACACACAGACUUGACACUGGGACUGGGAAAGAACAGGAGAACAUGGAAACAGAGGGAGGUGAAGGGCUGGGGAGACAUGGCAUGAAACGUGGGAACAGAAAAGCGAGCGGAGACACGGAGGGAGACACAGACAUAACGAACAUAUACGUACACAUCAACAAGAAAACAUGGAUCAUAAUUCUAAUUAAACUUACAACCUAACCAGGUCUAAACUCUAUGCAAACUGUAAACACUAGAAGUUAAACAUUUCCCCAAAAUAGCAAAAAGGGAUCAAAAAUACAAAAUGCACUCAAAAUGCUGAGUCAACGGCCCAGCACGCUGACAUCGGAGAGGUUAUAAAGACUGAUGGCUGUGUUUCGUAUUCAUGUCGGUUGUCCUGUUUCACUAAUUUGUGCCUCCUCCUGUGUGUGACCUGGAAAUCAAUCUCAGUACACCAUGUUGUUAGACGUGUCUCAGCUCCUCAAAAUACAUCUUCAGGCCGGAGCGGAGCGGCGGCUUCACUAGAAGAGCGAUAACGGAGGAUACACACGUGUAUCCUUUUACAGAAGGAUUUUCUGUCGAUUACUGUUUCUAUGUAUUUUUAAUUUAAUUUAAAUUGUCCAUAAAUAUAAAAAAGACAUUAAAGGGUUGACUUAAUGAUGUGUUUCGGAUAAUUGUCCUGGCACAUAACCUGACUGAGCUUGAACUUCAGGACAUGAGCUGAUGGAGAGACGUCCUCCUUCAGGUCUUUCUGGUAGAGAGAAUUGAUGUUUCCAUCAGUUACAGUAAGUCGUCCUGAAGCAGCAAAGCAACCCCAGACCAUCACAUUACCACCACCAUGUUUGACUGUUGGUCCUUGUUUUUGUUUUUUUUUAAAUGAAAUGCUGUGUUAAUUUAUAACACGUGUAACAACACUCAAAACAUCCAAAAAAGUUCAUCCUUUGUCUCAUCAGUCCACUGAAUAUUUUCUGAAAAGUCUUGAGGAUCAUCAAGAUUGUCGAGAUGUUCUUAUCUUUCUCUCUUGCCAAAUGUGAGACGAGUCUUGGUGUUCUUUUUGGUCAGCAGUGGUUUUCUCCUUGGAUCUCCCAUGGAUGCUGUUUUGCCCAGUCUCAUGAACUCUGACCUUAACCAAGACAAGGAACAGAGUUCCUUAGACGUUGUUCUGGGUUCUGACCUCCUGGAUCAGUCGUUGAUCUCCUGUGAACAUUCACCACUGUUCCAAGUUGUCUCCAUUUGUGAAUAAUGGCUCUCACUUUGGUUCACUGGAGUCCCAAAGCAUUAAAAAUGUCUUUGUAACCCUUUUCAUAAUGAUAGACGAUAGAUGUUUCUGUGGAUCAUGACAUGAUCUGUUCAUUUUUGAGAUAUUUUAGACAUUUUCCACAGUUGUAACUUUAAAGCAAGGUGAGGAGGAUCAUUUUGUUAAAUACCCCUUUGCCUCACCUCCUCUGCUCUGGGACUGCAAUGUGAGGAGCGGAGUCAUGGAUGUGCAGUGGAAAUGAGAAGGGGAGUGUGUCUAUGGCUAACGUGUGGAGUGCAGCGGUUGAGAUGCAUUGUCCAUAAUAUCGAGUAGUUUCUUAAACAUCCUCCUAUUCACCACAAGGUCAGACAUCACAAAGAUGGACUUUCACAUCGAUUCAUCUGCUGCACAAAGAAGUUUAGUCUUAGACAUGUUAGGCAGGACAAGUUUAGACAUUUUUUUUUUCAAAUAACAAGAACACGGCUGAGUGACAGUAUCUAAACACCCAGCUCUAUUUACCGUGGUCGAAAAUGUUUGUAUUUGGGAAGAAUUCAACGGUUAUGAUGACGUUUUACUGGGAAACAAAUGCAGUGACAGAAAGCAGUAGCUGUGCAAACCCACAGCAGGGCCUGGAUGCUCCGGCUUCUUAACGUGACUUGUUAAUUUUUCAUGCGGGUGCUUACCUCCGGCAAACAUGGCUGACGAUGACCUCACUGCUCUUCAUUUUCAAUGGGUUCUCUAAAAACUGCAUCUCAUUGCUUCCUUAAUAAUAAAAAAAACCCUCAAAUUACAAGCCACCAUUUCCUCUUUUUUGUGUUGUUGUUGUCGAGUGUCACAAGUCGAAGCAGGUGUCACAUAUUGCUACCAUGGCAACAUCAGUUUUUGGUCUUCAAUUAGCCUGAGAGUAAGGUGUCUAUGAAUUAAUCGGUCUUUAUUCUUGUGAGGCUGGCAAAAUAACUGCAAAUGUAUGCAAAGAGGUAUGCACCGAACGUUCGAACAGUUAAGAAU